UUCAUCCUCACAAAGAAUCUUUAGGCAACAGAAACAUAAUGAGGAAAAAGACAAACAGCCAAAGAAUACAUAGCCAUCUGCAAGACCCAGAUAUCUCCAGCACACCAUGAUGCCAUUAUUUGAGCGCUAUUAAGCCAUCAGGUGACUUGGCUUUUAGCUUUGACCUGACAUUCAGCUAAUGUGAUGAGUAAAUGAAAAUGUACUUAAUGGAAGCACUACCUGGAAAUCUAUAUUUGUUCCCACACCCCUGCAUGCAGCACACCCUGAAAAAAAAAAUGUCUUUGUGGCAUAGGAUCCACUCAGGCAGAUGGCCAUUUUAAAACGUCAAAUGAAACUGAAAUAAGAUCGAUGUAUUUAAUACAUUAGAAAAGGCCUUUUAAAGUAAAUUUCCAUAUAACAUGGCUCAUAUAUCUUUAAGUAAGGCUUUUACUUUUCUUAUGUGCCUUUAACCAAGCCAUAGUAGCUUUAGGCCCCAUUUUGGAUUCAGACGGAGUGGAUAAUCCAAAAUAUUUUGGAGGCCAUUAUUUGCCAUUUGUCAUUUUUACCUAUGUUUGAAGUACCAGUGAAGCUUUUUCACUUUCCUCUCCAGCUGUCAGCUGCAUUGAGACAGCUUUUAGCAAGCCAAAGAGAAUGUUCUCUGUCAGCCAUUGAAUACUGCAACCCUCCAUAUUUAGAUUUGCCAUUCAAAAUGAUAGAGGUGUCACAUAAAGAGAGGUCUGACUGUGUCAGUGCAUUUAUAAAAGGUGUCAAACAUGCUGGUUUGAAUCCAACGUUUAAGUGCUUUUCCUUUCUCUGCCUUCAAUGCCCGCCAGCUGGAGAAGAAGAAAAAGAAAGGGAGAAAUAUUAAAUGCCAUUGCUGCAUCUGUCAAAACCAUCACAAACAACAUCAGCUGUGAUGUCCAAGAUCAUUUUCGUUACGGCGUGACCUGUUGAACGGUCAUCUAAAGCCAAUAGAAAUAAGCCCCUCCCACUGGUUAUUCUUAGUGUUUGUUUGUUUCUCUCUCUCUGUGUUUUCGGGGCCCCACAAGGGGCCAUUUUGAGACGAGAUCGGCUCAAGGAAAAGAAGCACAAAGGAGAGAGGUAUAGAGAGUGAUGCUGCCAACCUCUCAACAGGGUGCAAUCACUUUACCUGUCAACCCCUCCGCAUGUCAUCUUUCAUUUUCCGGCUCGAGGGACAAGAGAAAGCGUAUAACAGCAUUCACAGACACCCAGAUGUUCCAUUGGCGAGUAUCUGGCACGUCGCUUUCCUGCCUUUUUAUUUCCUGUUUCUGAAUGAUGACCGAGUCGUGUAGGAGUUGACAAAAAAGUAGCAAAAGAUUAUUAAAAAAAAAAAAAGAAAAAAACGGCAAGCAUUUAGCAUUUUGC
This is a long non-coding RNA of Onychostoma macrolepis, 1365 nucleotides long. RefSeq lists it as uncharacterized. NCBI's taxonomy places the organism in Eukaryota, Metazoa, Chordata, Actinopteri, Cypriniformes, Cyprinidae. The transcript is spliced from 3 exons. The record is from RefSeq and is a predicted model, not a curated record.